GGACCAGACUCCUACGGGAGGCAGCAGUGAGGAAUAUUGGUCAAUGGCCGAAGGGCUGAACCAGCCAAGCCGCGUGAAGGAAUAAGGCCCUACGGGUCGUAAACUUCUUUAGUCAGGGAACAAAGGGUGCCACGUGUGGCGCUGUGAGUGUACCUGAAGAAUAAGCAUCGGCUAACUCCGUGCCAGCAGCCGCGGUAAUACGGAGGAUGCGAGCGUUAUCCGGAUUUAUUGGGUUUAAAGGGUGCGCAGGCGGAUUUUUAAGUCAGCGGUCAAAUCGUGGGGCUCAACCCCAUCCAGCCGUUGAAACUGGGGAUCUAGAGUGUGCGAGAGGUAUGCGGAAUGCGUGGUGUAGCGGUGAAAUGCAUAGAUAUCACGCAGAACCCCGAUUGCGAAGGCAGCAUACCGGUGCACAACUGACGCUCAGGCACGAAAGCGUGGGUAUCGAACAGGAUUAGAUACCCUGGUA
This 466-nucleotide ribosomal RNA is filed under the name uncultured bacterium. RNAcentral describes it as "bacterial SSU rRNA". It matches the Rfam family "Bacterial small subunit ribosomal RNA", at positions 328 to 792 of the family's 1533-position model. The record is from RNAcentral.